CAGACAUCUUGCAGAUGAAAGAAUUUUUCAGUCUUGCAUUCAGUUUCACGAACCAGUAAUCCUUCAUUUAAAAUGCAUGCAGAAUACACACCACACGCUGCUCAUCAAGCAAGGUGACCCAGGCCCUCUGAAGAUUGAUCCGGCUACAGAUUCACCCAAGUCUUCCAUUGAUGCAGCAAAACUGCCUGAAUUUGAGUGCCAAAUCAUGGGGUUUAAGAAGCUUAAGAGCAGGUAACUUCCCUUCCUUCUUAUGCUGUGAAUUACUGCUAGAAACACAAGUGAAGAUGAACGAAUCUGUGGUUCUAAACUCACGGUGUGCUGUGACGCCUGCUAACCCUGCCUUUUCAGGCUUCUUUACCCAUGCAGUGGUAAUGUCAGGGAUAUGUGCUUUAUUCUGACAUACAAACAUGCUAUGAAGACUUCUGAAAGCCAUCCCCAGUCAGCCUUCUGGGCUGCAGGUGCACACUGCUAACUCACAUCCAACUUUUUUUUGUCCUCAAGUCCUCCUCCGCAGGGCUGCUCUCAAUGAGUUCUUCUCCCAAGCCAUACGCACCUGGGAUUGCCCCGACUCUCUUCCCUGUGCACAGAUAAGCUAGGAGAUCUGGGUGAAUGCUGCAGCAUGGUGGCACGGAGCAGGAAGAAGGAGCCAGGGGCAGAGAGGGAAGGUGUUUCCUUCAGCUGACACUGCCACCAAAACCCAUGCCUUUGGCACAUCUCCGGAAAUAGUCUGAGAAAGGCAGGAGGAGGAAUAACGCCUUCCUGGGGGGGAAAAGGCUUUCUGGUUGUUCAAGUGUUCCCUUGCUCAAGGAAGCUGACUUUCUAUAUUCUUGUAAAUAAGCAAAAACCGUACCCAGGCUCCUGGCUCCAUUAAUAAUUUCUCUUCCUAACGGGAACAAGCAUUCCGGGUUCAAACAUCUCAGCAAGCUGCUUAACAACUCAAAGAGCAGGAACACUUCCCAGACCUGGAGUCACCAAAGACGUCUUGCCUGGCAAAUCCGUAAAAUUGUUCCUGCUAUGAAAGCAUGGCC
RNAcentral lists this long non-coding RNA (1028 nucleotides) under Gallus gallus (chicken). Its description in RNAcentral is "lncRNA (ENSGALG00010012237.1)". The record is from RNAcentral. Lineage: Eukaryota; Metazoa; Chordata; Aves; Galliformes; Phasianidae.